GAUGAACGCUGGCGGCGUGCCUAAUACAUGCAAGUCGAGCGAACGGACGAGAAGCUUGCUUCUCUGAUGUUAGCGGCGGACGGGUGAGUAACACGUGGAUAACCUACCUAUAAGACUGGGAUAACUUCGGGAAACCGGAGCUAAUACCGGAUAAUAUUUUGAACCGCAUGGUUCAAAAGUGAAAGACGGUCUUGCUGUCACUUAUAGAUGGAUCCGCGCUGCAUUAGCUAGUUGGUGAGGUAACGGCUUACCAAGGCAACGAUGCAUAGCCGACCUGAGAGGGAGCACCGCCACACUGAAACUGAGACACGGUCCAGACUCCUACGGGAGGCAGCAGUAGGGAAUCUUCCGCAAUGGGCGAAAGCCUGACGGAGCAACGCCGAGUGAGUGAUGAAGGUCUUCGGAUCGUAAACCUCUGUUAUUAGGGAAGAACAUAUGUGUAAGUAACUGUGCACAUCUUGACGGUACCUAAUCAGAAAGCCACGGCUAACUACGUG
RNAcentral lists this ribosomal RNA (497 nucleotides) under uncultured bacterium. Its description in RNAcentral is "partial 16S ribosomal RNA". It matches the Rfam family "Bacterial small subunit ribosomal RNA", at positions 28 to 507 of the family's 1533-position model. The record is from RNAcentral.